AAAUUUUAUGUAACUUGCAGCAAAAGUUAUGUGGUAUAACUGCAGAUUGAUGUAGUGAAUUUGCUGUAGAAAUAUAAGUUAACUAGAUUUUAACCCGCGGUAUACCGCGGGAUGAUUUAUUUUUUAAAAGUAAUAUAUAUUAAAACUUGCAAAUUUUAUUUUUAUA
This 166-nucleotide small RNA is filed under the name Arabidopsis thaliana (thale cress). Its description in RNAcentral is "ATSL026600". Lineage: Eukaryota; Viridiplantae; Streptophyta; Magnoliopsida; Brassicales; Brassicaceae. The record is from RNAcentral.